This 466-nucleotide ribosomal RNA is filed under the name uncultured bacterium. RNAcentral describes it as "partial 16S ribosomal RNA". It matches the Rfam family "Bacterial small subunit ribosomal RNA", at positions 28 to 507 of the family's 1533-position model. The record is from RNAcentral.
GAUGAACGCUGGCGGCGUGCUUAACACAUGCCAGUCGAACGAUGAAGCCCAGCUUGCUGGGUGGAUUAGUGGCGAACGGGUGAGUAACACGUGAGUAACCUGCCCUUCACUCUGGGAUAAGCCUGGGAAACUGGGUCUAAUACCGGAUAGGAGCGUCCACCGCAUGGUGGGUGUUGGAAAGUUUUUUCGGUUUUGGAUGGACUCGCGGCCUAUCAGCUUGUUGGUGAGGUAAUGGCUCACCAAGGCGACGACGGGUAGCCGGCCUGGGAGGGUGACCGGCCAAACUGGGACUGAGAAACGGCCCAGACUCCUACGGGAGGCAGCAGUGGGGAAUAUUGCACAAUGGGCGCAAGCCUGAUGCAGCGACGCCGCGUGAGGGAUGACGGCCUUCGGGUUGUAAACCUCUUUCAGUAGGGAAGAAGCGAAAGUGACGGUACCUGCAGAAGAAGCACCGGCUAACUACGUG